UACGUUGUUAUGUGCUUCAGUCUUGCUCUUUAGCAUGCCAAAGAAAUUUUACUACUAUUGCUCUUUUUAAUUAUAACUAAAGAGAAGUUAGAUAGCACAAGCAGUUUGAAGAAUGGGUAUGUUGGAUCGUUCACAACCUUGGCUCAGCCAUGUUUGCCAUACCCACCCUAUCCAGAAAGACAGCAAAAGAAUAGGGCAGUUUCGAUGGCUGAAACAUCACCAGUGCUUUGGCAUGAUCAGGUGCAAAAAACGACUGAAAAGGUUGAAUCAACACUUAUUACUCCAAACGAAAAGGAGAUGAGCACAAAGGACACUGUGAAAAAAGAUAGAUGCCUGUCAACAGCAUCAUCUGACAGUGGUAAUGGAGGUUGUGGAGGGCUUAAGAAGAAAAAAUAUAGGCGUUUUGGAGAGGUUGAUAAAACGGAGAAGAAAAAACUGACCCCCAGACAAUGGCUUCUAUUUGUUGUUCUCUCAUUAGCAACUCUUACAUCAUCAUUUGCCUUUCCCCCUGUUCUUUCCCAAAAUUGUUGAAGAUAAGGGUGCCACAGUAUCCAUUUAUGGAUUUAUCAUUGGUACCAACUGCCUGACAUCGUUUCUUGUCACUCUUUUUAUUGGAAAAAAACCUGAAAGUUAUUGGCGUUCGGUUCGCUUUUGUUUCUGGAGUUUUCAUUGGAGGUAUUUGCUGCUUAUUGUCGGGCUUUUUAGAGUAUUUCCCUCCCGGGGGUUCAUUCGUCGUAAUAUCUAUAUUGAUCCGCGUCAUUCACGCUGCCGGAAACGCUGGUACAAUUACGUUGACGUUUACGUACACUGCUGUGGAGUUUCCCAAUUCCGUUGCCAAAAUCUUUAGUCGUAGCCGUAGAAACGCAAGGCCGAAGAUUUUUUCUAACCAGUUGCAAGCUGACAAAUGUUGGAUGUUUUGUUGCGUUUUCUGUUUCGCGUGGAUACAGUGUUGAAUAAAAGCGCUGUUGAUGUGACCUUCUUACAAUUUUUGCA
This is a long non-coding RNA of Daphnia carinata, 993 nucleotides long. RefSeq lists it as uncharacterized. NCBI's taxonomy places the organism in Eukaryota, Metazoa, Arthropoda, Branchiopoda, Diplostraca, Daphniidae. The record is from RefSeq and is a predicted model, not a curated record. The transcript is spliced from 5 exons.